Molecule: ribosomal RNA, 261 nt
Filed under: uncultured prokaryote
Description: partial 16S ribosomal RNA
Rfam family: Bacterial small subunit ribosomal RNA
Source: RNAcentral
UACGGAGGAUGCGAGCGUUAUCCGGAUUUAUUGGGUUUAAAGGGUGCGUAGGCGGGCUAUUAAGUCAGUGGUGAAAUCCUGCAGCUUAACUGCAGAACUGCCGUUGAUACUGAUAGUCUUGAGUUUGGUUAAGGUAGGCGGAAUGUGUAAUGUAGCGGUGAAAUGCUUAGAUAUUACACAGAACACCAAUUGCGUAGGCAGCUUACUGAGCCGACACUGACGCUGAGGCACGAAAGCGUGGGGAUCAAACAGGAUUAGAUA